UAAACUCUGUGGCCCUGGGAAGAGAGAUAUACACAUAUAUUCUCUCCUUUACACUGCCUCCGGGUGCAGUAACAAAUAAAAUAUUUGCAGAGGCUCAGAAAAAGAUUCAAACUGCUGUCCGGUGCAACUUCUUUCUAUCGCCUGCUACGUCUAUCCUUCUUAAGUCCUAAUCUUUGCUGGAGCUGGGCCCCGACACAAGUGGAGCCUGAACAGGAGACUUGAAGUAGGAAUGCAGAAUCGCCCAUUGGGAUCCCAGAUCGCCUCGUCAGGCCAUGUGGACAGGUCCCCGAGACGGUCAUAUCAUGUCCUGCACCCAUAUUGGAAAAACGAAACGACAAGAGAAUAUGAGCGAUUCUCCCACUCAGAAUCGACUUCCGUUCUGCCAUCAUCAAAAACGCCUGAUUCUACAGAUAUGGUUGAAAAUAUUUUGCCUGUUUUUGCUCGGCUUCGUCUUCACUCAAAGCGACGUGAGCAAGGCCGCUUUGCAAGAUCUACUCGUCAAGAGUUUUUGCCAACAUGGGGUCAGAUUAAACAGCUUAGUUGUUUGGCUGAACAAAUUCUUGAAGAAAAUAAUUUUCAAAAAAAUCCAGCUAAUCUUUUCCUGGCUAUGAUCUCUUUGCUUACUAUACGGUCAUCUAAUGACAACUAGCACAAGGCAUCAGAACACUGUCAAUGGAAUUUCAAGUGGAUCGACUGAAAAUAAGAAAGAGGGAGAUGGUGGCGCCACUCUCCACUAAGGAGGCUGUAGGACUGUUGUGUGGCUAAGGAGACCGCGUGACAAAGUUCCAGGUCUCAUAACUCAGCUAACGAGGCUGUAGGACUGUUGUGUGGCUGAAGAAACUGAAUGACAAAGUUCCAGUUUCUGGCUGGGUGGACACAGCCCCACUUCCUCCUUUAGUUUUAUUAUUUAAAAAAAAAUAAAAUCAUUUGUAUAGUGCUUUUUGGAUUCACUGACUUGUUCCCCUUUGCCCUCAAAAUAUUGAUGAUCUGAGAUGGUCUGAGAAAAGAAAUAAGACGAAUAAAUUUAUGGAAAAAAGUAAUAUAAAACCUAAACAUUGGAAAAUAUUAAUAUUGAUGAAAUGGCUGCUCUGACUAGAUCCCAGAGAUGGAGAUGAAGACCAAGAUUGGGAAAGUACAAAAAAAACCCACAAAUGAGUUCGGGGACAUUUCCUGCUUAUUUUGUAGUGAAGAUAUUAAUGCUUUCAUAGAUAUAAAAUGCAAAUUUGAAAACUAAGAAUCAAGAAAAAGGACAUGAUUUUACAUUAUGAAUUAAUCAUUAGAAGAUUAUAAAAAUAAGAAAGAGGAAUGUUGCAGAAAUUUUAUAGAUACAUAAAUUAGGAUAUAUAAAGAGUUAAAAUAGAUUAUAAUAUAAUUUAAUAAGAAUUUUUGUUUUGCUUACUAUAAGUUAAAAAUUAGACUUUUAGAUUCUAAUUGUCUGGCAACGGUGACCAUGACUCCCCCCUCCCAGUUAAACUUUGUCUACUUGCUCCAGGAACUGUAAUCAUUGAAUUUUAUGAUUAUGACUUUCUAAGAAUAUUUUGAUUCAUGUUGGGGAAAUAGUCCCAUAUUAGGUAUCUUUUGAAAUGCAAAUAUAGACUGAUGUAAUCAUUGUUGUAAGAUAUAAAAAUAAACUCUGUGGCCCUGGGAAGAGAGAGAUACACAUGUAUUCUCCCCAUACACUGCCUCCC
Peromyscus eremicus (cactus mouse) is the source of this 1688-nucleotide long non-coding RNA. RefSeq lists it as uncharacterized. NCBI's taxonomy places the organism in Eukaryota, Metazoa, Chordata, Mammalia, Rodentia, Cricetidae. The record is from RefSeq and is a predicted model, not a curated record. The transcript is spliced from 3 exons.